RNAcentral lists this ribosomal RNA (253 nucleotides) under uncultured bacterium. RNAcentral describes it as "partial 16S ribosomal RNA". It matches the Rfam family "Bacterial small subunit ribosomal RNA", at positions 524 to 776 of the family's 1533-position model. The record is from RNAcentral.
UACGGGGGGGGCAAGCGUUGUUCGGAAUUACUGGGCGUAAAGCGCACGUAGGCGGAUCUUUAAGUCAGGGGUGAAAUCCCGAGGCUCAACCUCGGAACUGCCUUUGAUACUGGGGAUCUCGAGUCCGGGAGAGGUGAGUGGAACUGCGAGUGUAGAGGUGAAAUUCGUAGAUAUUCGCAAGAACACCAGUGGCGAAGGCGGCUCACUGGCCCGGAACUGACGCUGAGGUGCGAAAGCGUGGGGAGCAAACAGG